GGGUGACUAGCUCAAUGGUAGAGUGCAUCACUCGCACUGAUGAGGCUAGGGGUUCGAUUCCCCUGUCAUCCA
Molecule: non-coding RNA, 72 nt
Organism: Tritrichomonas musculus
Lineage: Eukaryota; Parabasalia; Tritrichomonadida; Tritrichomonadidae
Source: the annotation of a GenBank genome assembly